Xenopus laevis (African clawed frog) is the source of this 1594-nucleotide RNA transcript. It is a transcript of the gene named golgin subfamily A member 2-like, with no coding region annotated. The transcript is spliced from 8 exons. Lineage: Eukaryota; Metazoa; Chordata; Amphibia; Anura; Pipidae. The record is from RefSeq and is a predicted model, not a curated record.
GAAACAACAACAACGGAGCUUUUCUACUGAUCAAACUACUGAUGCUGCUUUCAGAGGGGGGUGCUGGCUGCAGGGCCGCUUUAAUAAGUGGGCAGCUGCCCAGGGCACACUUAUUUUGGGGCCCCAUGGCUGACUUGUAAAUUUUUUUUGCCUUUAUUUAUUUAUUAAAUAAGUACUUGGUGCUGGCUCCCUCCCUGGCCGAUCCACUCAUUUCACACCCCCCCCAACCCGGUAAAGUGGAAACGGCCAGAGGAGGAAAGGAAGCCCUGCCUACCGACUGCCUCAGUCUGCAGAGAGGGAGCCGGAAGAGACGAGUGUUGGUGCAUCAUACGCAGGUGCCUCGCUGGUCUGUGGCUGCUGCUCAAGUUCAUCAAAUCCUCCUGAUGUCGGCGCUUGUUGUACCCAGCUGUCACACUCGCACACCAUGACGCUGCCCGGCCCCAGCCUCUCCAGGAAUCCACCAGGCACCUUCACUGAAUCUAGGUAGCAUUUAUAGCCACUUCCAUAGCAAAAGGUGCAAUGGCAGCGGGAAGAGGUGGAAAGGCAACUUACGGAGCAAAAGAGGUACUGUCAAGAUCUGUGCAUCAGAUAUCGGAAAUAAGGCGGAGGCAAUCAUCUGGAGCCAUGCUGCAGAUCUCUGUAUGGAUAGCAUUCACAGAGAGGUGUAUGAUGCAUUACAGAGUGUCAUGGAGAAACUGCAGCUUCAGUUUACAGACUUGAUGCAAGAGAGAGUGGAGCUGAAGGAGCGUGUAGAAAAGCUGGAGCAUCAAUGUAUUCAGCUGUCAGGAGAAACAGACACUUGGUGAAUACAUUGCUGGACCAGAGAGCCAUACUGAAGCAGCGUCACAAGGAAAAGGAGUACAUUAGCCGACUGGCUCAGGACAAAGAGGAAAUGAAGGCUAAGCUGCUGGAAUUGCAAGUUUUGGUCAUGCGGCUGGUAACUGAGCGCAAUGAAUGGUACAGGAGUUUCAUGGAAGCAACCCAGGGUCCCCAGACAGGAUCAGAAGAGUUCACAGCAGAAAACCCUAUGGAACUUAGAGGAAAAGAGAAUGGAGCUCUGGAGGAAGUCGGCUUGGAAUAAGAUGGGAGACAGGAAGUCCAGUCAUUGCCUCAUUUGGCAGCUCCUCAGGAAUGACUAAACCCAACUUCUGCAUGAGAUACAGAAUCCCCAGGAACGGCCCGGUGCCCUGCUGCAGAAUCCAUGCAUCCCCUUUUUCUACCGUGCUGACUAAAAUGACGAGUUCGAAUAAUGGUGAUUUGAGGGAGGAGUUGACCGAUGCAUCCCUCCUUUUCCCAUGCCAACGCCUGCUUGUGCUGGGAUUCAUUUUCUCCAAGGACACAUUAGAAACGAUUGCUUUGGGGGAGUGCUGGAGAUUGGCAAUUAAUUGUGCAGAAUCUGACCAACGUGAUAGAUAUCUUUUUGCAAUUGAGCCUGACUCACACUUUGAUCCUGUAACUCUCCAAUUGGAAUUUUAGCUGCUAUCUGGUUUCUUGCGGCCAGUUUAUCCUAGCAACCAGGAGAGACUCGACUAUGACUAGGAAAAGCCUGAAUAGAAGAAAUAAGGGGGAAAAAAAUACAUGACAUUUAAGCCUC